AGUGAACGCUGGCGGUAGGCCUAACACAUGCAAGUCGAACGGCAGCACAGUAAGAGCUUGCUCUUACGGGUGGCGAGUGGCGGACGGGUGAGGAAUACAUCGGAAUCUACUUUUUCGUGGGGGAUAACGUAGGGAAACUUACGCUAAUACCGCAUACGACCUACGGGUGAAAGCAGGGGAUCUUCGGACCUUGCGCGAUUGAAUGAGCCGAUGUCGGAUUAGUUAGUUGGCGGGGUAAAGGCCCACCAAGACGACGAUCCGUAGCUGGUCUGAGAGGAUGAUCAGCCACACUGGAACUGAGACACGGUCCAGACUCCUACGGGAGGCAGCAGUGGGGAAUAUUGGACAAUGGGCGCAAGCCUGAUCCAGCCAUACCGCGUGGGUGAAGAAGGCCUUCGGGUUGUAAAGCCCUUUUGUUGGGAAAGAAAAGCAGCAGGUUAAUACCCCGCUGUUCCGACGGUACCCAAAGAAUAAGCACCGGCUAACUUCGUG
Molecule: ribosomal RNA, 492 nt
Filed under: uncultured bacterium
Lineage: Bacteria
Description: partial 16S ribosomal RNA
Rfam family: Bacterial small subunit ribosomal RNA
Source: RNAcentral